RNAcentral lists this ribosomal RNA (254 nucleotides) under uncultured bacterium. Its description in RNAcentral is "partial 16S ribosomal RNA". It matches the Rfam family "Bacterial small subunit ribosomal RNA", at positions 524 to 776 of the family's 1533-position model. The record is from RNAcentral.
UACAGAGGGUGCGAGCGUUAAUCGGAAUGACUGGGCGUAAAGGGCGCGUAGGCGGUUUGGUAAGUUAGAUGUGAAAUCCCUGGGACUUAACCUAGGAAUGGCAUCUAGUACUGCUGAGCUGGAGUAUAGGAGAGGGCAGUGGAAUUUCCGGUGUAGCGGUGAAAUGCGUAGAUAUCGGAAGGAACACCAGUGGCGAAGGCGACUGUCUGGCCUGAUACUGACGCUGAGGCGCGAAAGCGUGGGGAGCAAACAGG